CAGCCCUAAACGAUGCGCGUUAGGUGUAUCGGUGACCACGAGUCACCGAGGUGCCGAAGGGAAACCGUGAAACGUGCCGCCUGGGAAGUACGGUCGCAAGGCUGAAACUUAAAGGAAUUGGCGGGGGGAGCACCACAACGGGUGGAGCCUGCGGUUUAAUUGGACUCAACGCCGGGAAGCUCACCGGAUAAGACAGCGGAAUGAUUGCCGGGCUGAAAGACCCUGCAUGACCAGCUGAGAGGUGGUGCAUGGCGUCAGUGACU
This 263-nucleotide ribosomal RNA is filed under the name uncultured archaeon. RNAcentral describes it as "partial 16S ribosomal RNA". It matches the Rfam family "Archaeal small subunit ribosomal RNA", at positions 748 to 1008 of the family's 1478-position model. The record is from RNAcentral.